GCUCUCUUUGGUAGCAUAUACCAAAAUUGGAACGAUUCAGAGAUUGGCAUAGCCCGUGGGCAAGGGACAUGCAAACCAGCAGAUUUUCCUCAUGGUCUG
RNAcentral lists this small nuclear RNA (99 nucleotides) under Canis lupus dingo (dingo). Lineage: Eukaryota; Metazoa; Chordata; Mammalia; Carnivora; Canidae. The record is from RNAcentral.